AACGAACGCUGGCGGCAUGCCUAACACAUGCAAGUCGAACGAGACCUUCGGGUCUAGUGGCGCACGGGUGCGUAACGCGUGGGAACCUGCCCUUAGGUUCGGAAUAACUCCCCGAAAGGGGUGCUAAUACCGGAUAAUGUCUUCGGCCCAAAGAUUUAUCGCCUUUGGAUGGGCCCGCGUUGGAUUAGCUAGUUGGUAGGGUAAAAGCCUACCAAGGCGACGAUCCAUAGCUGGUCUGAGAGGAUGAUCAGCCACACUGGGACUGAGACACGGCCCAGACUCCUACGGGAGGCAGCAGGGGGGAAUAUUGGACAAUGGGCGAAAGCCUGAUCCAGCAAUGCCGCGUGAGUGAUGAAGGCCUUAGGGUUGUAAAGCUCUUUUACCCGGGAUGAUAAUGACAGUACCGGGAGAAUAAGCUCCGGCUAACUCCGUG
Molecule: ribosomal RNA, 433 nt
Filed under: uncultured bacterium
Lineage: Bacteria
Description: partial 16S ribosomal RNA
Rfam family: Bacterial small subunit ribosomal RNA
Source: RNAcentral